RNAcentral lists this ribosomal RNA (419 nucleotides) under uncultured bacterium. RNAcentral describes it as "bacterial SSU rRNA". It matches the Rfam family "Bacterial small subunit ribosomal RNA", at positions 954 to 1371 of the family's 1533-position model. The record is from RNAcentral.
UGGGAACGCGAAGAACCUUACCUAGACUUGACAUCUCCUGAAUUACUCGUAACUGAGGAAAUCCCUUCGGGGACAGGAAGACAGGUGGUGCAUGGUUGUCGUCAGCUCGUGUCGUGAGAUGUUGGGUUAAGUCCCGCAACGAGCGCAACCCUUAUCAUUAGUUACUAACAUUAAGUUGAGCACUCUAAUGAGACUGCCUGGGUUAACCAGGAGGAAGGUGGGGAUGACGUCAAAUCAUCAUGCCCCGUUAUGUCUAGGGCUACACACGUGCUACAAUGGUGGGGUACAAAAACGAUGCGAAACCGUAAGGUUGAGCCAAACUCAAAACCCCGAUCCCAGUUCGGAUUGUAGGCUGAAACUCGCCUACAUGAAGCCGGAGUUGCUAGUAAUCGCGAAUCAGAAUGUCGCGGUGGAUACGU